This 77-nucleotide transfer RNA is filed under the name Alphaproteobacteria bacterium MarineAlpha4_Bin1. Its description in RNAcentral is "tRNA-Arg". It matches the Rfam family "tRNA". From Rfam's summary of the family: Transfer RNA (tRNA) molecules are approximately 80 nucleotides in length. RNAcentral also lists the same sequence under 1 other name. Lineage: Bacteria; Pseudomonadati; Pseudomonadota; Alphaproteobacteria. The record is from RNAcentral.
GCGCCCGUAGCUCAAUUGGAUAGAGCGUCUGACUACGGAUCAGGAGGUUAGGGGUUCGAGUCCUCUCGGGCGCGCCA